AAAGAGAGAUUGGUCACACAUAGGGAAAAAAGUGUCCUAGUGUUUGGGUGUAUUCAGCGUCACCUGCCGGUUGGUGAUGGAAUGUUUUUGCGCAUACAUCGUCCCUUAGGCUACAACAAAGGCUUCUUUUAAAAAGGCCAAGAAAUAUUCUCUUCUUGGCCCUCAAUCGAUUUUCAUGCGUCUGUAUUGCGUUUGUUUUGUUAGCAGUGUCAACUGUACGUCAAGCAUUGUGUGAGACGAUUUUCUGUCGAAAAGUUUUCAACUUUGACUUACAAACCGUCCCACUGAGUAAUUUUGUGCCUAGUAUUUCUAUUGGAAGCACUAUUACGAAGCUCUUGUGUGGCAGUUCUACAGUAAGAAAGAACCCCUGAACAAUAUUUUGAGCAGCAAUUUUUAAUGACUCGACGGCUCUUAACUUUUCUUUCAACUUCUUUUUGGAAAUUUUGCUGCGAUGCAAUUGUUUUUUGAGCAUUAGGAUAUCAUAUUUAAGUUUUUCUUUUUCAGUAAUCCGACGAGUUCUUACUCUUAACUUAAUGUCGGUCUUGGAAUGUUUUUUACCUUUGCUACCUUCGUUUUCUAGUUUUCUCUUUGUUCUAGUUGUGGCAGGGAGAUUUUCAGAAUCUGAACUGUACAUUGACACAUCUACAAAUCUCAUGUCAUCAUCUGUUGACGAGAAACUAUCUUUAUCAUGUACUUGAUCAUCUGAAGCUGAAAAUAAAAUAUCUUUCUAUAACUGUU
Molecule: long non-coding RNA, 738 nt
Organism: Daphnia pulicaria
Lineage: Eukaryota; Metazoa; Arthropoda; Branchiopoda; Diplostraca; Daphniidae
Exons: 2
Source: RefSeq, a predicted model, not a curated record